Molecule: ribosomal RNA, 407 nt
Filed under: uncultured bacterium
Lineage: Bacteria
Description: bacterial SSU rRNA
Rfam family: Bacterial small subunit ribosomal RNA
Source: RNAcentral
UGGGGAAUAUUGGGCAAUGGGCGAAAGCCUGACCCAGCGACGCCGCGUGAGGGAAGACGGUCUUCGGAUUGUAAACCUCUUUCAGCAGGGAAGAAGCAAGUGACGGUACCUGCAGAAGAAGUCACGGCUAACUACGUGCCAGCAGCCGCGGUAAUACGUAGGUGGCGAGCGUUAUCCGGAAUUACUGGGUGUAAAGGGUGUGUAGGCGGGGAAGCAAGUCAGAUGUGAAAACCAAAGGCUCAACCUUUGGCUUGCAUUUGAAACUGUUUUUCUUGAGAGUGGGAGAGGUAAACGGAAUUCCUAGUGUAGUAGUGAAAUGCGUAGAUAUUAGGAGGAACACCGGUGGCGAAGGCGGUUUACUGGACCACAACUGACGCUGAGACACGAAAGCGUGGGGAGCAAACAGG